GUGGGGAAUAUUGGACAAUGGGCGAAAGCCUGAUCCAGCCAUGCCGCGUGUGUGAAGAAGGUCUUCGGAUUGUAAAGCACUUUAAGUUGGGAGGAAGGGCAGUAAGUUAAUACCUUGCUGUUUUGACGUUACCGACAGAAUAAGCACCGGCUAACUUCGUGCCAGCAGCCGCGGUAAUACGAAGGGUGCAAGCGUUAAUCGGAAUUACUGGGCGUAAAGCGAGCGUAGGUGGUUUUGUAAGUUGGAGGUGAAAUCCCCGGGCUCAACCUGGGAACUGCCUCCAAAACUGGAUGACUAGAGUACGGUAGAGGGUAGUGGAAUUUCCUGUGUAGCGGUGAAAUGCGUAGAUAUAGGAAGGAACACCAGUGGCGAAGGCGACUACCUGGACUGAUACUGACACUGAGGUGCGAAAGCGUGGGGAGCAAACAGGAUUAGAUACCCCGGUAGUCC
This 450-nucleotide ribosomal RNA is filed under the name uncultured bacterium. RNAcentral describes it as "partial 16S ribosomal RNA". It matches the Rfam family "Bacterial small subunit ribosomal RNA", at positions 354 to 796 of the family's 1533-position model. The record is from RNAcentral.